GAUGAACGCUGGCGGCGUGCCUAAUACAUGCAAGUCGAGCGAACGGACGAGAAGCUUGCUUCUCUGAUGUUAGCGGCGGACGGGUGAGUAACACGUGGAUAACCUACCUAUAAGACUGGGAUAACUUCGGGAAACCGGAGCUAAUACCGGAUAAUAUUUUGAACCGCAUGGUUCAAAAGUGAAAGACGGUCUUGCUGUCACUUAUAGAUGGAUCCGCGCUGCAUUAGCUAGUUGGUAAGGUAACGGCUUACCAAGGCAACGAUGCAUAGCCGACCUGAGAGGGGGAUCGGCCCAACUGGAACUGAGACCCCGUCCAUGCGCCUACGGGAGGCAGCAGUAGGGAAUCUUCCGCAAUGGGCGAAAGCCUGACGGAGCAACGCCGCGUGAGUGAUGAAGGUCUUCGGAUCGUAAAACUCUGUUAUUAGGGAAGAACAUAUGUGUAAGUAACUGUGCACAUCUUGACGGUACCUAAUCAGAAAGCCACGGCUAACUACGUG
This 497-nucleotide ribosomal RNA is filed under the name uncultured bacterium. RNAcentral's name for it is "partial 16S ribosomal RNA". It matches the Rfam family "Bacterial small subunit ribosomal RNA", at positions 28 to 507 of the family's 1533-position model. The record is from RNAcentral.